UAACGCGUGGGAACGUACCCUUCACUACGGAAUAGUCCCGGGAAACUGGGUUUAAUACCGUAUACGCCCUUCGGGGGAAAGAAUUUCGGUGAGGGAUCGGCCCGCGUUAGAUUAGUUAGUUGGUGGGGUAAUGGCCUACCAAGACUACGAUCUAUAGCUGGUUUGAGAGGAUGAUCAGCAACACUGGGACUGAGACACGGCCCAGACUCCUACGGGAGGCAGCAGUGGGGAAUCUUAGACAAUGGGGGCAACCCUGAUCUAGCGAUGCCGCGUGAGUGAUGAAGGCCUUAGGGUCGUAAAGCUCUUUCGCCUGUGAUGAUAAUGACAGUAGCAGGUAAAGAAACCCCGGCUAACUCCGUGCCAGCAGCCGCGGUAAUACGGAGGGGGUUAGCGUUGUUCGGAAUUACUGGGCGUAAAGCGCACGUAGGCGGAUUAGUCAGUCAGAGGUGAAAUCCCAGGGCUCAACCCUGGAACUGCCUUUGAUACUGCUAGUCUUGAGUUCGAGAGAGGUAAGUGGAAUUCCGAGUGUAGAGGUGAAAUUCGUAGAUAUUCGGAGGAACACCAGUGGCGAAGGCGGCUUACUGGCUCGAUACUGACGCUGAGGUGCGAAAGUGUGGGGAGCAAACAGGAUUAGAUACCCUGGUAGUCCACACCGUAAACGAUGAAUGCCAGUCGUCGGGUAGCAUGCUAUUCGGUGACACACCUAACGGAUUAAGCAUUCCGCCUGGGGAGUACGGUCGCAAGAUUAAAACUCAAAGGAAUUGACGGGGGCCCGC
This 776-nucleotide ribosomal RNA is filed under the name Celeribacter sp. RNAcentral's name for it is "bacterial SSU rRNA". It matches the Rfam family "Bacterial small subunit ribosomal RNA", at positions 111 to 924 of the family's 1533-position model. The record is from RNAcentral. Lineage: Bacteria; Pseudomonadati; Pseudomonadota; Alphaproteobacteria; Rhodobacterales; Roseobacteraceae.